Molecule: long non-coding RNA, 278 nt
Organism: Helianthus annuus (common sunflower)
Lineage: Eukaryota; Viridiplantae; Streptophyta; Magnoliopsida; Asterales; Asteraceae
Exons: 3
Source: RefSeq, a predicted model, not a curated record
CGACCAGAGAACAGGGGGUGCGACCCCAAGCUUUAUCAAAACCUAGUUCAUCACAAAACUCACAAAUUGAGGGCUCAAACCAAGUCAAAAUCGAAAAUCAAGCAUAGAUUACUGAUCCUCAUCACAAGAGGAUCACAAGUUUGACGCGUAACAAGCUAGGUGGAAGCUUGAUGAGGGAGCGGGUCAAACGAAUCAAGAAGGAAAGGAAAAAGCAUAGUUCGGACACGAGGAAAUAAAUAGCACAUGGAUGCUUACAUCGCUAUCGCUUAGCAGCCAUU